RNAcentral lists this non-coding RNA (117 nucleotides) under Nomascus leucogenys (northern white-cheeked gibbon). The record is from Rfam by way of RNAcentral. Lineage: Eukaryota; Metazoa; Chordata; Mammalia; Primates; Hylobatidae.
GCUGGGCGCGGUGGCUCACGCCUGUAAUCCUAGCACUUUGGGAGGCUGAGGUGGGUGGAUCACCUGAGGUCAGGAGUUCGAGACCAGCCUGACCAACAUGGAGAAACCCCAUCUCUA